Molecule: RNA transcript, 6733 nt
Organism: Osmia bicornis bicornis
Lineage: Eukaryota; Metazoa; Arthropoda; Insecta; Hymenoptera; Megachilidae
Exons: 16
Source: RefSeq, a predicted model, not a curated record
GGACAUUUUUCUCUGUUUAGUGUCUAGAAAUUUAAUUGACCCACCGUUUCCAGUCGCCAUAAGUUUCAAUAGUUCCGAGUUCCGACGGUUUCGACAUUUUUGUGUUAAUUCUUCGUAGUUAUCGUGUAAUUAAAUACGAUUUUUGUGAAUUUUACAUCGACCAAAAGUGUCACUGCUUCGCGGACAUCCAGUCCGUCCAAACGGACUGCGGCCCUUAAAACAAUUUGGAAUGCUCUAGCAAACCAUUUGCUAGAGUGAGAGAGAAUUUAAAAAUGCAAAAUUGGAACCAAUGGCAAUUGUCAGCUGGUGCUGUUGCCACUCCAAUGCCACAACCACCAGUUGGUUAUGCUACACCAGGAGCAGAUCCUAUGGCUAUGAUGCAAGCUUACAUGCAGUAUUAUAAUCAACCAGCACCUAGUGGAUAUACAGCAGAACAAUGGGCUGCAGCUCAGCAACAAAACUGGGCUCAGUGGCAACAAUGGCAACAACAAUAUCAGCAGUGGCAAGCACAAUAUGGGGAGAAGUAUCAGGAAACAAUGAAGCACAUAUCAGCACAGAACUUGAACUUAGCUAGUCAGGUGCCACAGUUACCAGUUGUGCAACCUCCGCCACCUCUUCCAAAAGAGGAUGCAAAACCACCAUUGCCUCCAACCACAAUGAAUACGUAUCAGUUUACAAGCAUGCCUCCACCCCAUCAAAACAAUCUUCCAUUAUUCCCUGUUAAACAAAAUGCAAAUACCUCGGUGCAGCAGGGAAACGUUCAAAAUUGUCCUCAGAAUCCUCCUUUACCUCCAAAUCAACCUCCAUUACCUCCUGACAGUAGUAAUAAUAGUAAAGAGAAUAAUAAUGUAAUUGGUAAACGUAGUAGUAACGCCAUUAGUGAAUCUCCUAGUGCUAAGAAAUUGAAAGUUGAAGACGAAGAACUAACUGAGGCCGAGAAAACAUUUGACGCCCAGUUUAAACAGUGGGAGGAACAGUUUAAUAAGUGGAAACAGCAAAAUGCUAAUCAUCCAGACAAGACCCAAUACAAGCAAUACGAAGCGAAAUGGACAUCCUGGCGAGAGAAGCUUAUUGAACGACGCGAGCAGAUGCGUAGGAAACGCGAACAACAAAAGCAAGUUACUGCUAAGGCAGAAGUCGAAAAGAAUAAAAGUUUGCCGGGUGAUGAUAAAAUAAUGAACAUUCUGUCGAGUACGGAGAAUCAGGGAUUGAUUAAUAAUUUGUUAGGCAUUGGGAAAACUCUUGGUUUAACUGGAAAGCAAAAUGCUAACGUACCUCCACCGCCACCUCCACCACCAGCUACCGAAACCACAGCGUCUAACGUUCAAACAACUAUGACGUCCUCGUCCCAAGCAACUUCGCAAUCAGUACCUCAGUUAUCAGUCAUGAACAUGAUGAAUUCAUCACCUUGGAAUUCUCAGCAAUGGACGCCACAGUACAACACAAACGUAUCAAAUUUUCCUAAUUUUCAGUCAAUGUCUGGCGUAUCCCAAGUACCAUUUAAUGGCCCGCCAACUCAGAUGCCUCCACCAAAUUUUACACAGCCACCACCAAACUUUUCAAGCGUACCAAACUUCUCGCAGCCGCCUCCAAGUUUUGCUAAUAACGAUUCCAGACAGAAUCAAAAUGCACGACCCUCGGUUCCACCAAAUAUACAAGGAAGACCUCCUCCGUUUGGCCCAAAUAAUAAUAGCGGUCCAGAUGGAAGUCAUUUGCACAACGAACGUCCAGGUCAAGGUGGUCCCAUAAAUAAUUUCGAAUCAGUAAGUCAUCCAAAUAAUUUUAAUGAUUCUAAUCGAGAAAAAGACGGAGUACCAUUAGAACGUUUUGCUCGAGAUGGUGUCGCUGAUCAACCGAGUAGUCAGUUUAGAUCCAAUGAUAUGUACGGUCAACGGAAUGAAAAUUAUAAAUUAAACGAUGAUCGGGGGUCCGAAAGUGAUCAGUUUAGAAGGGAGGAUAGAAAUUAUCAAGACUUUGGUGGCAAUCAGUUCAAUCAGCACAAAAUGAAUUUCAAUAACGAUAGAUUUGGUGCUGGAAAUGAUCGUUUUGGAUCUGGUAACAACAGAUUUGGCCCAGGAAACGAUAGAUUCGGACCUGGAAAUGAUCGAUUUGGUUCAGGAAAUGAUCGAUUCGGGUCUGGAGACAAUAGAUUCACUGGUAACGAUCGAUUCGGUCCAGGAAUGGAUAGAAUGGUACAAGGAAACGAACCUGUUAACGAUCGUUUCGGUUCAAACAAUGAACCACCAUAUGGACCAGGGGGUGAUAGAUUUAAUAGAAAUAACUUGGAUCGUUUCGAUCAAAAGGAUCUAGGCGACAGGCGCGAUGGCUUCCCAGUUGCUCCACGUAAUUUCAAUAGAAAUAAUCAAUUUGAACCAUCGGAUAAGUUUGCUCCAGAACUGAAGAAACUUAUGGAAAAACGAAGAGCAGCUAUAGAUGUAUUUAAACCGAGUUUUCUUGAUUCUGAUAAGAACAGUAGUGUUGGAUCUUUGAGUGAAAGUUUUAAGAAGAUUACCGGUGAGUCACCGUUUAUGAAAACUUCUUCCAAUAAUAAUUUUGGACCUCGUGGGUCUUCCAAUUUCGGGCCAAGCGGGCCUGGUAAUUUCCGAAUGCCUGGGGACUUUAAACCUCCAGUAAACGCAGACUUUGGGCCCCGAUGUCCUACAGGAAUUGGACGUAACAAUUCCUUCGAACUGCGAGAUGGAGGAACUGCUCCGUUUAGAGGACCUACUUCCAGCCCACAGCAAGAGUUUAUAAUUACCGAACCUAGGCCAGAAAUGAAUAAAGAGAAUAAAAAUGAAUCUGUUACUGGGGUGGAGCAGCCAGUAGUAAUCUUAAACGAUCAGAAUGCUGAUAGCGUUCAGAAAGAUAGUUCUGAAGGUUAUCCAGUACAAAAUGAGAUACCAUUAUUAGAGAAACCACCCUGGAUCGAUGCCCAGCUUCCUGAAAAUACUUCAUUGCAAAAGGAUAAAAGAGAUGAUAAUUUGCCUACAAAUUACAAUCCCUCAGAGCAUAUCCCUCAGGAUACUCAGAAUGCAAUCAAUAAAUCGACAGAAGGUAAACAAGAAUUAUCUGGUAGUGAUAAUAAAAAAAUAGAAGCAUUACCUUUCAUGGGAGAGAAUGAUCCGAAACCUGAAGAUUUGAACAUGGAGCCACCACCAGAGUUACCAAAUUUGGGACCUGUCUCGGAUACCAACGAAGUGGCUGAUCCUAUGCGAGGAACGAAUGAACCGUAUGAUGUAAAAGAGUCUUCCUUAAAACCUUUUCCAAAUAAUCCAGAAUGCUUUGAACCUAGAGAAACUUUUGAUUCUGCACUCGGUCCAAGAGGAAUGCAGUUCAGACCAAAUACACCUUUUACUGGCCCUAGAGGUUCUACCGACAACAGAUUUCCUGCGUUUGAGCCUAGAGGUCCAAAUUCAUUUCCAUUUAAUCCUCCGGCAUUAAACCCUUACCCAUUAGGUCCUCGAGGUCUCAACGAUGGACAGUUUGGUCCAAGAGGUCCUAACGACACGCAGUUUGGUCAAAGGGGUGUCAAUGAUGGAUUAUUUGGGCCUAGAGGUCCUAACGAUGGUCCAUUUGGCCCUAGAGGUCCUAGUGGAUCAUUUGGACCAAGAGGCUCUACCGAAAAUCAAUUUGGGCCAAGAGGGCCUAAUAAUGGACAGUUUGGACCUAGAGGUUCUAACAAUGGACAAUUUGGCCCUAGGUAUGACAGUCAGUUCGGACUAAGAAGAUCUAACGAUGGACAGUUUGCUCCUAGGGGACCAAUCGAUGGACAGCUUGGACCUCAAGGACCUAAUAAUAGACAAUUUGGUCCUGGUAGGCAAAACGACGCACCUUUUGAUAACUCUGGACAAUUUACUCCUAGAGUACCAUCUGAAACUCAUAGAUUUCCAGGACCCAAUGAUAGACUGUUCGGUUCAAGGCGCAACGAAGGACCCUAUCAACGAAGUCCAAAUGGUGCAAAGGGAACCAACAAUGGACAGUUUUCCAAUAUGUCUGACGUGUAUGGGUCUCAGAAUUCCAAUGAUGCGUACUUUGGAUCACGAGGUCCAAUGGAUGGGCCAAAUGAUAACAGACAAUGCGAUAUCAGAGGAAUUGGGGAAUUCAGAUCAAAAGGGCCGGUUGAUAAUAAUUCUUGUCCUAAACUUAGAGAGAGUUCAGAGGCAGCUGGUUCUAACGUUCGUGGCGAUGGAUAUGAGGCUGCUAAUCAAAUGCGGAUAGAACAGAACAUAUCACAAGGACAAUUCGAUACUGAUGAUAUGUCGAAUCCAGGUUGGAGGAAAUCGUAUCCUAAGAACAGUUUUGGUGAUACUGAUCAAAGAUCUAGACGAAAUUUUGGUUUCAUCGACAAACCUUUGCUUGCUCAAAAUGAAACAUUUAAUCAAGAUACUAUAAGUAAUGUAGAAAGACGUUCUCCGCUAAAUGUAAAUAAAUCUAGCAUACCUGAUAGAUCAGAAAAGAGUAUGGCUGAUUUAACAGCGGGAGAUUAUAAAAGUGGGUACGGGGAAUCGUCGUCAGGAUCUGAUUAUACAAAGUUUGGUGGUCCUAGUAUGUUCAUGAAACGAUCAAUAGAUAAUAGACAGUCUCAAGUCAGGUGUCCAGCUGUUAAAGAAUUUUGCAUAGAAAAACAGUUUAAUUAUAAUCAUGGCGGUGCGACAACUGAGAAGAAAUUCAUUGAACAUAUACCUGCUAAAGUAAUCGAUUAUGCCCAUACAACUCGUUCAAAGAUUCAAGAUCACUUAACUCCUGUGCAAUGUUUCGACUAUGGACAUGGUAAUUUAAAACCAUCGGUGCCUGAUCAUGAGGUGUAUCCGAAGAAAGAUUUCAGAAAUUGGGAGGAGAAUGAACAAAAUUUGAAAGAGUACACGGAAAAGAUAAGGAGGUACGAAUAUUAUGCGGAGAAAACAGAUUCUAGACGUUCCAGGAAUUAUAAUAAAAAAAGGAAUAGCGAGGACUUGUAUGACGAGAGAAAACCUGAACGAGAACGUAGAGAAAAGGAAGAUAAUAAAGGAAAAGGAAAAGUGGAUAGGAUAUUUGAUCAUAUGUCUGACAAAGAUCAAGAUAUUCGAUAUGAAAAGAAUAGCAAUAAAGAAAGAACACGGGAAAAAUGUGAAACUUCUCACAAAGAGAAUAAAGAGAAUGACAAAGAUGAAGACAGAUCAAAAGGAAAUAAAAACUGGCAGGAGAACACAAGCAAGAACAUCAUAGAUACAAAGCCACCAGAUACCAGUGUUACAGAUCCUCAGCACAAUGUAUUGGAAUCUGCACAAAAGACUUUGGAAUUGGCAAAAACACCAAAUUGUACUAUGGUUGAUGAUUUACUGUGUCCUCCAGGUCGCCAGAACAGACCACCGAAAAUAGCUAUUAUUUUAAGAGGUCCACCAGGAAGUGGAAAAUCAUUUGUAGCAAAACUUAUUAAGGAUAAAGAAGUUGAACAAGGAGGUUCUGCACCAAGAAUUUUAAGUCUUGAUGAUUAUUUCUUGGUUGAAAAGGAGAUAGAAUCUACGGAUGAUAAUGGAAAAAAGAUUACGAUUAAGGAGAUGGUUUAUGAAUACGAAGAAGCAAUGGAGCAAAGCUACAUUACAUCACUUGUUAAAGCAUUUAAAAAGAAUAUCACUGAUGGUUUCUUCAACUUCAUAAUAUUAGAUUGUAUUAACGAAAAAAUAUCUGAUUACGAAGAAAUGUGGAGUUUUGCUAAAACUAAAGGUUUUAAGGUAUAUGUAUGCGAAAUGGAAAUGGAUUUACAAAUCUGUUUAAAAAGAAAUAUUCAUAAUCGUACAGAAGAUGAAAUAAACAGGAUUAUAGAUUAUUUCGAACCAACACCAAGUUAUCAUCAAAAAUUAGAUGUUAAUUCAAUGUUGCAAGAACAAGCGAUCGAAGAAGUUCACAUGGAGGAUAGUGAAGAAACACAGGAGAGAUCUUCUGAGCAACACAAUGAAGAUAGUCAGGAUAGUCAAGAUGAUAUUCAAGAUGUGACUGGUGUAAGUAAAUGGGAACGCAUGGAAGCAGAGGAUAAAUUAGAUCGUUUGGAUGGACUUGCAAAGAAGAAAAAUGAGGGAAAAGUGCAGACAAUGAAAGAUUUUCUUCAAGUUCCUGAUUAUUAUAACAUGGAAGAUACCUCCGGUAAAAAACGCGUAAGAUGGGCGGAUUUAGAAGAAAGGAAAGAACAAGAGAAAAUGCGAGCUGUAGGAUUUGUAGUUGGUCACACGAAUUGGGAUCGUAUGAUGGAUCCUACAAAAGGAGGAAGCGCUUUAACACGCACAAAGUAUAUAUGAUUUAAUUUUACUUCUAAAUUAACUAGGAAAAAUUAGAAGUAAAACUAAUAUUACUUUGCUCGUUUUUCUCGCUAUCGUAAUGAUAGUCAUGUUUUUAUUCAACUACAGUAGUGCAAAAAUGUGAGUAAAAAAGGCGUCUACAACUUUCAGACUUCGUGAUACAACAUACGAUUUUAAUAUAGUCUUGUAUCCAUUUCACACAAAGCAUCAAAAUCGUGUUAACUUAUGUAAAACAUUGUAAUUAUUGUAUAUAACUUAGGAGAUUGUUCCAUUAUACAUUUUUAUAUGUAGUUUGUGCAUAAUGUAUUAGAAUUACAGCUUAAGUAUACACUGCCUGUUGAGGGUUCUGUUAUUAAAAAAUUAAAGUAUAUUCAUCAUUCAGUUCAAGAGAAGAAUUAUUGUAUGGAUACAAUAAGAAAAUAAUAAAUUGUAGAAAACUGUUUGAUAUUUUAUACUUCUAA